Molecule: ribosomal RNA, 94 nt
Filed under: Litchfieldia luteola
Lineage: Bacteria; Bacillati; Bacillota; Bacilli; Caryophanales; Bacillaceae
Source: RNAcentral
UCACACCCGUUCCCAUGCCGAACACGGAAGUUAAGCUCUUCAGCGCCGAUGGUAGUUGGGGGUUUCCCCCUGUGAGAGUAGGACGUCGCCAGGC